RNAcentral lists this non-coding RNA (225 nucleotides) under Jeotgalibacillus soli. RNAcentral's name for it is "T-box sequence". It matches the Rfam family "T-box leader". Rfam says of the family: Uncharged tRNA acts as the effector for transcription antitermination of genes in the T-box leader family. T-boxes are found upstream of many aminoacyl-tRNA synthetase genes and some amino acid biosynthetic genes usually in Gram-positive bacteria. The record is from RNAcentral. Lineage: Bacteria; Bacillati; Bacillota; Bacilli; Caryophanales; Caryophanaceae.
AAGAUGACGUUGAAGAGGAAUAGUAGAGAUGACCUUUCGAGUAGUAGAGAGCUAACGGGUGGUGAAAGUUAGCCGAAAUCAUCAUGAACUCGCCUCUGAGUCGACAAUGCGAAAAAACAAGUAGUAUUGUCCGUUUUCCGCGAUAAGGAUGAUAACUUUUUUGAGUGCGUGUACACGAAUUUGGGUGGUACCGCGGGAGAUAAUCAAUCAUCUCUCGUCCCAUUA